UACGGAGGAGGCAAGCGUUAUCCGGAAUUAUUGGGCGUAAAGCGUCCGCAGGUGGCACCUCAAGUCUGCUGUCAAAGACCGGGGCUUAACCCCAGAAAGGCAGUGGAAACUGAAGUGCUAGAGUGCAGUAGGGGUAGAGGGAAUUCCCGGUGUAGCGGUGAAAUGCGUAGAGAUCGGGAAGAACAUCGGUGGCGAAAGCGCUCCGCUGGACUGCAACUGACACUCAGGGACGAAAGCUAGGGGAGCGAAUGGG
Molecule: ribosomal RNA, 253 nt
Filed under: uncultured bacterium
Lineage: Bacteria
Description: partial 16S ribosomal RNA
Rfam family: Bacterial small subunit ribosomal RNA
Source: RNAcentral